This 500-nucleotide ribosomal RNA is filed under the name uncultured bacterium. Its description in RNAcentral is "bacterial SSU rRNA". It matches the Rfam family "Bacterial small subunit ribosomal RNA", at positions 421 to 916 of the family's 1533-position model. The record is from RNAcentral.
GAUUGUAAACUGCUUUUAUACGGGAAGAAACACUCCGACGCGUCGGAGCUUGACGGUACCGUAAGAAUAAGGAUCGGCUAACUCCGUGCCAGCAGCCGCGGUAAUACGGAGGAUCCAAGCGUUAUCCGGAAUCAUUGGGUUUAAAGGGUCCGUAGGCGGGUCUAUAAGUCAGUGGUGAAAUCCGGCAGCUCAACUGUCGAACUGCCAUUGAUACUGUAGGUCUUGAAUUUUUGUGAAGUAGCUAGAAUAUGUAGUGUAGCGGUGAAAUGCUUAGAUAUUACAUGGAAUACCGAUUGCGAAGGCAGGUUACUAACAAAACAUUGACGCUGAGGGACGAAAGCGUGGGUAGCGAACAGGAUUAGAUACCCUGGUAGUCCACGCUGUAAACGAUGGAUACUAGCUGUUGGUUGUACAUUGGUAUGAUCAGUGGCUAAGCGAAAGUGAUAAGUAUCCCACCUGGGGAGUACGAACGCAAGUUUGAAACUCAAAGGAAUUGACGG